UUAAGUUAGAAAGGGCGCACGGUGGAUGCCUUGGCACUAGGAGCCGAUGAAGGACGGGACGAACACCGAUAUGCUUCGGGGAGCUGUAAGCAAGCUUUGAUCCGGAGAUUUCCGAAUGGGGAAACCCACCACUCGUAAUGGAGUGGUAUCCAUAUCUGAAUACAUAGGAUAUGAGAAGGCAGACCCGGGGAACUGAAACAUCUAAGUACCCGGAGGAAGAGAAAGCAAAUGCGAUUCCCUGAGUAGCGGCGAGCGAAACGGGAUCAGCCCAAACCAAGAGGCUUGCCUCUUGGGGUUGUAGGACACUCUGUACGGAGUUACAAAGGAACGAGGUAGAUGAAGAGGUCUGGAAAGGCCCGCCAUAGGAGGUAACAGCCCUGUAGUCAAAACUUCGUUCUCUCCUGAGUGGAUCCUGAGUACGGCGGAACACGUGAAAUUCCGUCGGAAUCCGGGAGGACCAUCUCCCAAGGCUAAAUACUCCCUAGUGACCGAUAGUGAACCAGUACCGUGAGGGAAAGGUGAAAAGCACCCCGGAAGGGGAGUGAAAGAGAUCCUGAAACCGUGUGCCUACAAGUAGUCAGAGCCCGUUAACGGGUGAUGGCGUGCCUUUUGUAGAAUGAACCGGCGAGUUACGAUCCCGUGCAAGGUUAAGCAGAAGAUGCGGAGCCGCAGCGAAAGCGAGUCUGAAUAGGGCGAAUUGAGUACGUGGUCGUAGACCCGAAACCAGGUGAUCUACCCAUGUCCAGGGUGAAGUUCAGGUAACACUGAAUGGAGGCCCGAACCCACGCACGUUGAAAAGUGCGGGGAUGAGGUGUGGGUAGGGGUGAAAUGCCAAUCGAACCUGGAGAUAGCUGGUUCUCUCCGAAAUAGCUUUAGGGCUAGCCUCAAGGUAAGAGUCUCGGAGGUAGAGCACUGAUUGGACUAGGGGCCCCUACCGGGUUACCGAAUUCAGUCAAACUCCGAAUGCCGAUGACUUAUCCUUGGGAGUCAGACUGCGAGUGAUAAGAUCCGUAGUCGAAAGGGAAACAGCCCAGACCGCCAGCUAAGGUCCCAAAGUAUACGUUAAGUGGAAAAGGAUGUGGAGUUGCUUAGACAACCAGGAUGUUGGCUUAGAAGCAGCCACCAUUUAAAGAGUGCGUAAUAGCUCACUGGUCGAGUGACUCUGCGCCGAAAAUGUACCGGGGCUAAACGUAUCACCGAAGCUGCGGACUGUUCUUCGAACAGUGGUAGGAGAGCGUUCUAAGGGCUGUGAAGCAAGACCGGAAGGACUUGUGGAGCGCUUAGAAGUGAGAAUGCCGGUAUGAGUAGCGAAAGAGGGGUGAGAAUCCCCUCCACCGAAUGCCUAAGGUUUCCUGAGGAAGGCUCGUCCGCUCAGGGUUAGUCGGGACCUAAGCCGAGGCCGAAAGGCGUAGGCGAUGGAUAACAGGUUGAUAUUCCUGUACCACCUCCUCACCAUUUGAGCAAUGGGGGGACGCAGGAGGAUAGGGUAAGCGCGGUAUUGGAUAUCCGCGUCCAAGCAGUUAGGCUGGGAAAUAGGCAAAUCCGUUUCCCGUGAAGGCUGAGCUGUGAUGGCGAGCGAAUUAUAGUAGCGAAGUUCCUGAUUCCACACUGCCAAGAAAAGCCUCUAGCGAGGUGAGAGGUGCCCGUACCGCAAACCGACACAGGUAGGCGAGGAGAGAAUCCUAAGGUGAUCGAGAGAACUCUCGUUAAGGAACUCGGCAAAAUGACCCCGUAACUUCGGGAGAAGGGGUGCUCUGUUAGGGUGCAAGCCCGAGAGAGCCGCAGUGAAUAGGCCCAGGCGACUGUUUAGCAAAAACACAGGUCUCUGCGAAGCCGUAAGGCGAAGUAUAGGGGCUGACGCCUGCCCGGUGCUGGAAGGUUAAGAGGAGCGCUUAGCGUAAGCGAAGGUGCGAAUUGAAGCCCCAGUAAACGGCGGCCGUAACUAUAACGGUCCUAAGGUAGCGAAAUUCCUUGUCGGGUAAGUUCCGACCCGCACGAAAGGCGCAACGAUCUGGGCACUGUCUCAACGAGAGACUCGGUGAAAUUAUAGUACCUGUGAAGAUGCAGGUUACCCGCGACAGGACGGAAAGACCCCGUGGAGCUUUACUGCAGCCUGAUAUUGAAUGUUGGUACAGCUUGUACAGGAUAGGUAGGAGCCUUGGAAACCGGAGCGCCAGCUUCGGUGGAGGCAUCGGUGGGAUACUACCCUGGCUGUAUUGACCUUCUAACCCGCCGCCCUUAUCGGGCGGGGAGACAGUGUCAGGUGGGCAGUUUGACUGGGGCGGUCGCCUCCUAAAAGGUAACGGAGGCGCCCAAAGGUUCCCUCAGAAUGGUUGGAAAUCAUUCGCAGAGUGUAAAGGCACAAGGGAGCUUGACUGCGAGACCUACAAGUCGAGCAGGGACGAAAGUCGGGCUUAGUGAUCCGGUGGUUCCGCAUGGAAGGGCCAUCGCUCAACGGAUAAAAGCUACCCCGGGGAUAACAGGCUUAUCUCCCCCAAGAGUCCACAUCGACGGGGAGGUUUGGCACCUCGAUGUCGGCUCAUCGCAUCCUGGGGCUGUAGUCGGUCCCAAGGGUUGGGCUGUUCGCCCAUUAAAGCGGUACGCGAGCUGGGUUCAGAACGUCGUGAGACAGUUCGGUCCCUAUCCGUCGCGGGCGCAGGAAAUUUGAGAGGAGCUGUCCUUAGUACGAGAGGACCGGGAUGGACGCACCGCUGGUGUACCAGUUGUUCUGCCAAGGGCAUCGCUGGGUAGCUAUGUGCGGACGGGAUAAGUGCUGAAAGCAUCUAAGCAUGAAGCCCCCCUCAAGAUGAGAUUUCCCAUUCCGCAAGGAAGUAAGAUCCCUGAAAGAUGAUCAGGUUGAUAGGUCUGAGGUGGAAGUGUGGCGACACAUGGAGCUGACAGAUACUAAUCGAUCGAGGACUUAACC
Molecule: ribosomal RNA, 2926 nt
Filed under: Bacillus velezensis
Lineage: Bacteria; Bacillati; Bacillota; Bacilli; Caryophanales; Bacillaceae
Description: 23S ribosomal RNA
Rfam family: Bacterial large subunit ribosomal RNA
Source: RNAcentral